Molecule: ribosomal RNA, 200 nt
Filed under: uncultured bacterium
Lineage: Bacteria
Description: partial 16S ribosomal RNA
Rfam family: Bacterial small subunit ribosomal RNA
Source: RNAcentral
AGUGAACGCUGGCGGUAGGCCUAACACAUGCAAGUCGAACGGCAGCACAGUAAGAGCUUGCUCUUAUGGGUGGCGAGUGGCGGACGGGUGAGGAAUACAUCGGAAUCUACCUUUUUCGUGGGGGGAUUACGUAGGGAAACUUACGCUAAUACCGCAUACGACCUUCGGGUGAAAGCAGGGGACCUUCGGGCCUUGCGCGG